AUGCCGGCCACCCUGCCCCAGGGGAAACCAAACGGUCUGUUUGCUGCUCUGUGGUCACACGGGGCCACAGCUGCCCCACAGCUGGUCGCAUCUGUGCGGAGGGACAGUGGCCUCCCUCGCCCAGGGACGAGGACAGGGACCAACAUCUCCCCAGCCUGGGCCAGUGUUGGCAAAUCACAAGUCACUGCCUCUUCUGCCCUCGGCUUUCACACCACCUGGACCUUGUGCUGCAGCUCAGUGGCUUUCUUCUUGUUCCCUCUUUCCCAGGAACCUCUCCCACAUCCCAAGAACCAGCCUCAGCUGCGGUCAGCUGUGCUGGGAAGCAGCCGUGUUGGGUUUUGCUGCUCCUCUGGGAGGGCUGGAGCAGGGCAGGACCUGGGGACCAGGGGAAGAUGUCUCUACCGCCAGGCAGAGCUGUCUGUGCUGACAGUGACGUCACAGCAGGAUCCACCUUUUUUUUUUUUUUUCCCUUUUCUAUGUUGCUUAUUUUGUAUCUUGCUGGGAGAAGCCGAUUCCAGACUGGUGGCCGCUCUCCGUUUCCGCAGAGAUGCUGCUGCUGCCCUGGCCCCUCCAUGGCUCAGUCCUGGCGCUGCUCACCCGCGAGGUUGCUCUUUGCCAUCGCUUGCACUAACUCGAGGCGGUGCUGGCGUCAGUGUGCUGGUUUUGCACCAAGGGAUGGCUGCACGAGGCCCCGGCCUGUGGCCUUUCACGGGGAGGAGUCAGCACUGGGAAACAAGCAAACAGAAGCCUCUCGACAAGCUCAGAGUGAGCCCUGGUGGCGUGGGCCACCCCAGCAGCACUGCACCGAGUCUGUUCCUCGGAGCCCCGGGAGGUUUCGGGGCUCUCCCUGGGCCCCAUCCUGGAUCUGGGCCGGCAGCAGCUGCUUGCCAAGCCAAGGGGCCGAGGAGGGGAAGCUGCUGCCACCGCGCUGAUGGGGAAAGCUUUUGCCUAGCUUUUCCAAGGGGCGACGCCAUCACCCGGUGCUGCCAUCCCAGCACCCAGGGCUUUGCUACUGCCUGGCCCGCAGCGGGGGCUCGGCCGUGUUCGCUGCUCCUCUUCCACACAUCGCCCGCAGCUCCUGGCGUGGCCGAGCUCCCCUGA
This 1101-nucleotide long non-coding RNA is filed under the name Cairina moschata (Muscovy duck). RNAcentral's name for it is "domestica (muscovy Duck (domestic type)) lncRNA (ENSCMMG00000015119.1)". The record is from RNAcentral. Lineage: Eukaryota; Metazoa; Chordata; Aves; Anseriformes; Anatidae.